This is a long non-coding RNA of Cucurbita moschata (crookneck pumpkin), 1696 nucleotides long. RefSeq lists it as uncharacterized. The transcript has 2 exons. The record is from RefSeq and is a predicted model, not a curated record. Lineage: Eukaryota; Viridiplantae; Streptophyta; Magnoliopsida; Cucurbitales; Cucurbitaceae.
UAAUUCUUUUAUAUUGCUUCUCGUGUUUCGUCAAAGCUCAGUCUAGACACGUUAUGUGUUGUGUAUUGGAUACAACACUUCCUCUUUCUCUGAGUUCAGUUCCUUAUAUGAUAUGAAAUAAGGUGUCUUAAUCAUGCCACAAAGACUUCAUGCUGGAGGACAAGAUUGUACCUUACGUAUUUGGAUUUAGGGAGGUUUCAUUGUAUUUUUCAAUUUUAGAGUAUUAGUUUUAAGGUUUUAAAGUUUCAAUUAGUUUGUGGUAUUGAUGGGCAUACAAGUUACAACCUUUUAAUUGACCAUAGGUCACUAUAAGGUUUAUUAUCAAGGCUAUAAAUUGUCCGUUCAUGUUGUAUGAAGGUUUAGAUUUGCAUGAUAGAGUCAUUCAAGUAGUCUUGAUCAAACUAUCGUGUGGAAUAAUUUGAAUCAUGAGUCCAGAAAUGAGUGUCCUUUAAUCUUGAUCAUCAAGGCAAUUCAUUCCAAAACUUUCCAUUGGUUUGAUUCUUUAUCAUUUUUGAGGUUCUUGAAUAAUUUAGAUCGAAGGGUCUUGUUCUUCAAUAACAAAUUCCAAGAGUUUUGUAACAUUUGGUAUCAAAGCUUUAGGUUCUAAGUCGGAUGUAUGUUUCCAUUGUUUUUCCUACUGAAAUUUCUUAUUUUUUCAUCUCAUCACAUUCUAUCCAAUCAUUUAAAACAAAAAAAAGGUGUCGUUAUUAUUUUUUGCAUAUUUUUUUUUGUCUUCUGUGUUCUUAUAGAUCUCGUCUUAUUCUAAAACAUUGUAUUUUAUAAGAUCUUGAAAUUUGGGUUGCAUAGAGUAGAAAAGUAUGUACUUCGAUAAAGGCGUGUGGAAAAAUUCUUUUUCUUGUCUCUUUGCAUUCCUUGCAAUAUGUCACAAAGGAGAUCAACCAAAUCUAUGUUCCAUCAAGCACAAAAAUACAUUGUGAGACCCACAAUGAUCCAUUUUCGAUAGCUUUUCAAGGAAAUUUGGAUGAAAUCCACCGAUCUAUGAAACACGUGUCUAAAUUACGUCAAGAGUUGAAUUUAUGAGACCAAAUAAGUGAGAGACAAAUUGUACAACCUAUUCAAAAAGAGGAAGAUUAUCUUAUGCCCGCUAGACAAUGUUUCAAAAUGAUGGUAUUUUGUUACGGAUGACGUGGAGACCAGCAAAGACAAUAUGCAAGUAUAUGUUGUUCCAUGUCCAUUAAGACGGAAAGUGAAAAGGCGAAAGAGUGUGAGAGAACAAUGUUUGGUAUAUGAAAUUAUAAAAUGCUUAUUGAAAAGCAAGAUUCAAUAAUUGAUUCUUAUUCGAGCCAACAUCGAAUUAUGGACAAAACAAGACCAAUGAGCUACACAAGAAACGACACUCCCAUUUCACUUCUACAUCCAUGCAUGACCUAAAGAUAAAAGUGAAGACCUCAAGAAGAUUAAGACCACGAAAUGCAAAUGAUUUUAAGUUUGCAUUACAAGGAGAUCAAUUGGAUUCAAGGAUGAAUCCUCUUGAAGAAGGGAAGAACGGUACGAAAUAAGAUGUCUUGAUCAUGCCACAAAGACUUCAGGGUGGAUAACAAAAUUGUACCAUCCAUAUUUGGAUUUAGGGAUGUUUCGUUGUAUUUUUCAGUUUGAGUAUUAUUUUUAAGGUUUUAAGUUGCAAUUAGUUCGUCAUUAUGGUAUUGAUGGGCAUGAGAGGUUACUAUAAGGUUUA